RNAcentral lists this ribosomal RNA (309 nucleotides) under Triticum aestivum (bread wheat). Its description in RNAcentral is "partial small subunit ribosomal RNA". Lineage: Eukaryota; Viridiplantae; Streptophyta; Magnoliopsida; Poales; Poaceae. The record is from RNAcentral.
AUGUCUUCCUCCUCCGGCGCUUCCCUCCCGACUAAUCUCAAUGGCCAGGUCACCGAGAAGCUAUCCCGCACGAACUACGUGAUGUGGCGCACGCAGAUGAUCCCUCAACUGCGCGGCGCCGGGGUCUUCGGCUACGUCGAUGGCACCCAGCCGGAACCGGCGAAGCUGCUCGUCACCACCGACAAGGAAGGCAAGCAGACUUCAACGCCCAACCCUCUCCACCCAAUCUGGGUCCGGGAGGACCAGCAGGUCCUUGGCUACCUGUUGAGCAACCUCACAAAGGAGGUGCUCCUCACGGUGACCACGGUC